GAGGACUUCUUGAACCCAGAAGUUCAAGGCUGCAGUCCUAAGACUCAUUCCAAAGAGGGUCCUGUCUCAUACCCAAGAGGAAGGACUGCAGCGCAGGGAGGCCAAACAGAAUGCAGACACGCGGGCCUGCUGGGGUCACCACCCAGUGGAUUAGAGUAGCUCCUGACAGAUUCUGUUUCUCCACAACAGUCCAGAUUUUGCUGAACCUGAGCAUUAAACUAGACAGCUUCCUCUGUAUUCAUUCUGAAGACUCUUGUAUCACAUAAAGCUAUGAUCAAAUACAUUUGUAUGCCUUUUCUCUUUUAA
Long non-coding RNA from Sapajus apella (tufted capuchin), 306 nucleotides. RefSeq lists it as uncharacterized. NCBI's taxonomy places the organism in Eukaryota, Metazoa, Chordata, Mammalia, Primates, Cebidae. The record is from RefSeq and is a predicted model, not a curated record. The transcript has 2 exons.